This 2426-nucleotide long non-coding RNA is filed under the name Cricetulus griseus (Chinese hamster). Its description in RNAcentral is "lncRNA (ENSCGRG00000025980.1)". Lineage: Eukaryota; Metazoa; Chordata; Mammalia; Rodentia; Cricetidae. The record is from RNAcentral.
GUCUGGGCCAUGACGCUGUCUCUGGUCUGGGCUAGCUAUCAUCUGGUUGGUAUCUGGACUCAUGCAGCACUGACCACCUCCUCAAAGGGUGGCACUAGGGGGAGCUGACUCCAUCCCUUGCCUGGUCAGUAUGACUGUGGUGAUACUUUGUUUAUGAUCUAACAAUAAAGCUUGCCUAAGGAUCAGAGCGCAGAGCUAGCCACACUAGUUACUCAUAGAGGCCAGGCAGUGGUGACACAUACCUUUAGUCAUAGCACUCUGGAAACAGGGGCAGAUGGAUUUCUGUGAGUUUAAGGCCACUCUGGGCUACAGGAGAUCGAAUAUGUCUAAAAGAGAAGCGGAACUCACACCAAGGUGAUCCCAGCACUUGAGAUCUCAUGCCUUUAAUCCCAGCACUAGGUCUGUGGAGACAACAGUGAUAGGGCUGAGCAGAGAGAAGAAUAUAAGGCAGGAGGAGACAAGAGAGAGAUGCAAUCUGAGGAUUUGGAGAAAUGUAUGCAGUCUAGGCAGUCUAGGAGUCAGUCUGAAGCAGGCUGCCUGAGGGCAGUCUGAGCAGCAGUUAGUCUGAAGCAGUCAGUCUGAGGAUGCAGUCUGAGGACAGGAUGGCCCCUUUGGUAUGAGCAUUGGUAAAGGAGUUUGUUUGUUUGUUUUGAAGGGCCUGACGAUAAUGGAGCUUUUAAGAUCUGAGUCUGAAGAAACUGGGAAACUAGAAUUCCAGGCAGUUGCUCGCUGCAGCGGAGCAGCUGCUGCCCAUCCGUGGAGGCUUUUCUGCUGGCACAGAAGCAACACCAGGACUACCCAGGCUGACUGGACCCUGCUCAGCUUCCGGGCCAGGCUGUGACCCAGGUGAUAAAUGCCAGAGUAAUCCACAGCCCUUGUACAAGUAUCGUGGAGAUUUUUUGACAGCUGAAAUCCACUUUAUUGUGUUAACUUAUUUAGAAUGCUUUAGUGUUUUCAAUAAUCACAGUAGUCUUGUGUGCUCCUUUAGGUUAAGCUGACCAUUGAUUUUUAAAAUAAACCAUAAAUUCAUUCACUAGACAUACAUAGGUUUUUCCUCCUGUAAUGAUUUUAAUAAAACACAUUUCUUCAUCACGAACCAGUCAGUGCAAAUGAAUGUGUCUCUGUCACUGGUUGAUACAUAUGUAGGCUUUUACUACAGUGUGAAAGGUGCUGGAGAGAUGGCUCAGCCAUUAAGACCAUGUACUGACAUUGCUCAAGAGCCGACCAUCAGAUGGCUCACAACCACCUAUAUAUAACUCCAUUUCUAAGGUAUCCGCUAGCAAUGUCUUCUGGCCUCUAGGCGCGACACACACACACAAAUGGAAAAAGAAAGUUGGGCACAGAAGUUUGAGUCUCACCAACUCAAACUUCAUAUGACCUUUACAGCAUUUCUUUUUCUUGAGCCGUUAGUUUUGUAAUUUGAAAGGUUCACUACAGAGAUUUUUAAAAAGUUUCUAAUGUUCUAAAGUAAAUUAGGUUACUAUGUUUGACAGUGUUUGCAUAUUUCACAAUAUCAUAGAGAAGACUUCAAACAUUCUCAACACAAAGAAAUAGUAACUGUUUACUGCUGGGGACACCAAUUAACCCCAAUCUAUUAGGCAUUGAAUGUUGUAUAUGCAUGUUGACAUACUACAUGGUACUUUACAAAUACAUACCCAUUGUGUCAAUUAAAAUUUAAAAUGCUCUUUGACUUUUAAAACUAUUUGUUGAUUAGCAAAUAUUUAUUUUAUAUGUCUCAAACUAUUUAAAAGGAAAUUCAUUGAGAAAACUCAACCUUUUCUAAUCCAUUUUUGUCUUAGGGAUCUGCAGCCCCUUAAGAAUUGCUCCCAUGUCAUCCUCGACCUCCCCUGACUAUGCCCUCAUUGACGUGGCCAGGCACACCUGUAGGGGCUCCUAGGAGGCAGGGCUACAGUGUCUCCCUACAUGGAGCUACCUAAGAUUCCUAUAUAGUCCAUCCCUCAUGUGUCACUUCUCUAGUGUAAAUUCAGAGAGGAUUGAAAGAGUGAAUUAUGAAAGAAGUCACAUCAGGAAAUGCAAGGAUUCAAAUGGCUCUGCACUAGGAACCUAGGACAAAGAACAAGUACCUUUUAUUACUGUUACUAUUGAAGGAACCAGCUUCCUUUUGGCAGCCAUAACAGCCGAACACGUGCUUGCCAUAAACCUGCCUUGGUCACGUAGAGGUCAGAUGCCUGUCUCGUGACAAGGAACCUUAGUCACUUAGAGGUCAGAUGCCUGUCUUGUGACAAGGAACCAAUCAGAAGUUAGCUGGUGGCGCUAUGCUUUACGACCCUGGGUGUGCUUUACGGACAAGCGCACGACAAUGACGUAGAGAGCAUAGCAACCACCCUGGGAGGGCCUAUGAGCCAUAACAACCAGUUGACCAAUCAACACAGGGCAAGCCCUCCAAGCCUGGAGGCACACCAAUC